UACGGAGGGUGCGAGCGUUAAUCGGAAUUAUUGGGCGUAAAGGGUGCGUAGGCGGUGAUAUAAGUUAGCUGUGAAAUACCUGAGCUUAACUUGGGGGUGUCAGCUAAGACUGUAUGACUGGAGUAUAGGAGAGGGUAGUGGAAUUUCCGGUGUAGCGGUGAAAUGCGUAGAGAUCGGAAGGAACACCGGUGGCGAAGGCGGCUACCUGGCCUAAUACUGACGCUGAGGCACGAAAGCGUGGGGAGCAAACAGG
Molecule: ribosomal RNA, 253 nt
Filed under: uncultured bacterium
Lineage: Bacteria
Description: partial 16S ribosomal RNA
Rfam family: Bacterial small subunit ribosomal RNA
Source: RNAcentral